Long non-coding RNA from Bos taurus (domestic cattle), 1983 nucleotides. Lineage: Eukaryota; Metazoa; Chordata; Mammalia; Artiodactyla; Bovidae. The record is from Ensembl.
AAGCACAGCCAUGGCUAGAGAAUGAUAAUGAGUGAAUUGUUAGCAGGCUAAUAAUGAUUAGCCAGAAUGAUGGGGACGCUUCUCUGCAGAUAUUUGAGCUGAGACUGAGGUGAUGAAAAGGAACCGGACAUACAGACAUCUGGGAGAAAGUUGUUUCAGGAAGAGACAACAGAAGGUGCAAAGUUCCAGACUUUUGAGUGAGGUUGGCAUGCUUCAGGAACCAAAAGAGGUCCACCUACGUGUCUGACCUACGGCAAGGGAAGUGGAUAUCUCAGGAGGAUCCAGCUUUGCCCAGGGAUCAAACCCAAGCCGCCUCCAUUGGGAAGUGGGAGCCUUAGCCGCUGGACCACCGGGGACAUCCCUCUCACUGUCAUUUUGAUUCAAUUUCCCUGCUGCUGCUGCUGCUGCUAAGUCGCUUCAGUCGCGUCUGACUCUGUGCGACCCCAGAGACGGCAGCCCACCAGGUUCCCCCGUCCCUGGGAUUCUCCAGGCAAGAACACUGGAGGGGGUUGCCAUUUCCUUCUCCAAUGCAUGAAAGUGAAAAGUGAAAGUGAAGUCGCUCAGUCGUGUCCGACUCCUAGCGACCCCAUGGACUGCAGCCUACCAGGCUCCUCCAUCCAUGGGAUUUGCCAGGCAAGAGUACUGGAGUGGGGUGCCAUUGCCCUCUCCCUAAUGACUAGCAAUUUGGCACAGUUUUUCAUGUGUAUAUUUGUCAGAUACAUAUCUUCUUUGAUGUCAUGUCUGUUCAAAUCUUUAGCUCAUUUUUCUACUGGGUUGUUUGUUUUUUAUUAUUGAGUUUUAAGAUACUACUGUUGACUGAAUUGUGUCCCCACAAAUUCAUACGUUGAAGCACUAACCCCCUAUCCCACUACUUCAUGUAUUUGGAAACAGAAGUUUUAGAGGUUAAUUAAGAUUAAUGAGGUCAUAAGGUUGGAGUCUAAGAAUUGGUGGCCUUACAGGAAGGUAGUGCCUGGGCCCUGAGGACAGGCUUUGUGAGGACACGGGAAACAGGCUGAUGCUACGGGCCAGAAAUAGAGUCCUCACCAGCGCUCAGCCCUGCUGGCACUCUGAUCUCAGAUUUCUAGACUCCAGAACUGAGAGAAAAUAAAUUUCUGCUGGUUAAGCCACCCAGUCAAUGGAAUUUUUGUUAUGAAUCCUGAGCACACGAGAUGGAUUACAUAUAUCUGAUACGUAUGGAUAUGUAGACAUACACCCACAUGUAUGUAACAUAUGCAUUUUUCUUAUUACAAGCCCUUAUGAGAUAUAUGCUUUGCAAAUACUUUCUCACAGUCUCAGGCUUUUCCUUCCAUUUUAAAAACUGUUUAUAGAAGAACAGAUGUUUUUAGUUUUGAUAAAGUUCAAUUUAUUAAUUCUUUCCUUUUGGAAACAUGCUUUGUGUGUCAAAUAUAAGAAAACAUCGCCUAACUCAAGGUCCCAAAGAUUUUCUCCUGUGUUUUCCCUUAGGAAUUUUAUAGGUUUAUGUUUUAGGUUUCAGUCUGUAAUUAAUUUUGAGUUAAUUUGUGUUUCAUGCAAAGUAUGAAGCAAAGUACAGUGGGGGUUUUCUUCAUGUAGAAAUACAGUCACUACAUAUUGUAGCUUUAUAAUAAAUUUUGAAGUCAUGUAGUGUUAGUCUUCCAACUGUAUUCUUCUUUUUUCAAAGUUGUUUUGGCUACUGUAGGUCUGCAUUUCUAAAUAAAUUUUGGGAUCACUGUGAUUUUCUUUUUUAAAAUAUUUAUUUUGCUGCACAGGGUCUUAGUUGCAGACUAUGGGAUCUUAGUUCCCUGACCAGGGACUGAACUCGGGCCCCUUGCAUUUGGAGCAUGGAGUCUUAACCACUGGACACCCAGGGAAAUUCCUCAAUUAAAAAAAUAUAUAUAUCUGCUGGGAUUUUGAUUGAGAUUUCAUUGAAUAUAUACACCACUUGGGGGGAAUUAACAUUUUAGCAAUGGUGGGUGUUUCUGAUCUUUGAACACAGUGCAUGCG